GCAUUGCUGAGGAGUCCCGCAACAGGACGAAACGAUUGUCCUGUGU
RNAcentral lists this non-coding RNA (46 nucleotides) under Schistosoma mattheei. The record is from RNAcentral. Lineage: Eukaryota; Metazoa; Platyhelminthes; Trematoda; Strigeidida; Schistosomatidae.